Molecule: ribosomal RNA, 121 nt
Filed under: Campylium stellatum
Lineage: Eukaryota; Viridiplantae; Streptophyta; Bryopsida; Hypnales; Amblystegiaceae
Description: 5.8S ribosomal RNA
Source: RNAcentral
AAACAACUCUCAGCAACGGNUAUCUUGCAAUUUGCAGGAAUUCCGGCGAAUCAUCGAGUCUUUUGAACGCAAAGUUGCGCCCGAGGCUUGUCCGGAGGGCAUUUCCGCUUAGAGCGUCACC